Molecule: long non-coding RNA, 2729 nt
Filed under: Androctonus crassicauda
Lineage: Eukaryota; Metazoa; Arthropoda; Arachnida; Scorpiones; Buthidae
Source: RNAcentral
UUUUUUUUUUUGUAAUGGUAAGGCUAGUCGUGGUUUGGAGACGAGCGUGAUUACAGAACCGUAUUGGUUAAGAUUAUAGUAUAGUAAAAAGUCUCUUCGGAUACAUCUCUAUACAUCGUAAAAAAUUUUGUUUACAAAACAACUAUAACCCAUCUGUUGCAGGGUUUACGACUCCCAGUUAAAGAACGUCGGAGGUGGCAGCCGUAACGGGAAUAAUUGAGGACGAAUCUCAUAAUUGGAACGAAUCUUCCAUCCUAAAUGAAAUUUUACCAGUCACGCGUGGGGAUAAAUGAUGCUGUCGUAAAAGGGAAGAGAAAGAUAAAAAUUGGUAGUGGCUGGAGGUGCGGCCCGAUCCUCCAAUCGUUUGUCACUCCGUCGACUGGGAAAAUUUCACACUCUCGACUGGUAGAUUAAUGACCGAUCAUUAGGAGCGCACCGUUCGUCGUUAACUCUAUUACCGAAUAUUCUGGGCAGUUUCCGUCAGGGAAACACCCGACUAGUGCCGAGUCUGGCUUGGAUUUAUCUGCCGUUUUGUUUAAAAGGUGGACGUCUAACGACCCGGCUGAGGUUUCGCCAGGAAUUAAGAGGCGUCAACUCGUGUCCGGAACGCCUCACCGGUCCGUAAUUGUAGCCACACAUUAAGAUCCGGCAGAGGCAAAUUAACCGUGUGUUCCUCCGGGAGGUAAAUUUUCGUCUCGAAUAACGACGCUCGUCGUCUCCUCGAUUAUUGGAGUGUGGAGUGGCCGACGCGAUGGUCGUCUUCCUUUUUUCUGUCGACUCUGCCCGUUUUCUCGCCCCACCAGAAGAGGCAACGAGUGGUCGAUUUUCCGCUUUCGUAGCAGUUUUCGGUUAUAAGAAUCGUAAUAUUCUGUUUUUAUAUUAUAUGUCGAUAAAAGUUGGUGUUUUGUCGUCGUCGUCGCUUUCUAACUCGAUCGUUUCUGGUUGGACGUCCUCCACUUAAGAUGACGACGACGACUCACUUAUUCCUUAAUCGACUGGCUUUCUCCAUUCGGUUAAAGUUCAGCAUGGACUUUCACCUUUUAAUUAAGUCGAUUAAACCAACUGUUCCAGCAGAAUGGAUAUUGUUCUAAUCCUAAUUUCCAUUUUAAUCUGAGCCCAAUCAGAUAAAAGUAUUUAAUUGGAGUGACUUUUCGUAUCGUUUAAGACUACUAAAAUUUUUAUUCCCCAAUACUCUUGUAUUAAUUAAAGACGGAGAUUUACGCGGAUCCGUGUGAUGUUUAGAAGGGCUAUUGAAUAGUUUAGUUUGUUUCGUAUUGGAAGAGAUUCUUAGUCUCCUCCUCCUACUGCUAUUUCCCUCUCUCUCUCUCUCUCUGCAUCCCCGAACAACCGUUAAAACAAGCAAAUGUGCAAACAGUUCAGCCCGGGGGAGAUCCUCCAUUACCAUUAGGGUUAAUGAGAGAGGGAAAAACAAAACGUUGCCAUUUAGUGGUAAUUCCACUGUCGUGUAAUAGCUACCUGCUUAUCCGCUACAACUUUUUCUGCUUUGCUGAGGAAUUGGUCCGAGUUUCCAUUGUCCGUAUAGCAGGCCAUACACCGUGAACGAUUAAUGGCAUUUUUAUCGCCUGUCAAAUGCGGAUAAAAUAAGACUAUUGAUGCCCUUUGAUUCCGGAUUUUCACUCGAUAGGUAGGAGAAGCUUAUGUCUUGAUUCUCCAGGGCACCAUCAAACUCGCCAGUUCUAUUUUUCAGGAACGAUCACGCGUUUCUUUCGCUUCGUUUACCAUAUAUAUCACUCUACGCUUUUCCAGAUCUUAAGUACUUCUUAAAUCAGUUUCAGCAAAAAAAAAAGACGUAAUAUUAUAAAUUAGUAAUUAUCUGAUUAACUAAACAGAUUUUAUUCUUCCUUCAUCGAAGGUAUGACGUUAAUCAUUCUUGGUCCCUGGCUUAAUAGCCACUUCUCACUUGUUUUAUCAUUAAAUGAAGGCCCUUAGCUAAUUCUUCAUUCUUCGCCCGAUAUAUGGAGCCAUUUUAAUCUUUCGUAUUUUUUUUUUUUCCUCCUCUUGGUAAAUUAGUGUAUCAAACAGCGAUUACGUGUAAAACACAACCACGCACGGCAGAUAACGCGUGUUUUUUGAUACCAGUAAAGACAGACGGCGCCGAACGAGUGUAAAAGGGCGUAAGUAUUCUGCACGCCAAGGUCGCGAGUUAAUUGUCUUUAAACGCUACCUGUAUUAGUUGUUACCGCGGAUACCAGAUGGCAUUGGACGCGAUAGGAAAGGUCCCUAUCUGUAAACGGCAGCCGGACAUUUAGAUUUAGAUAAGUCACGUUUUCAAUCCGGACCCGGGAAUUUCCCUCGGGUUCUCUGCGAGUGCCCUUCCAAAGUGAAGUGAAGAGAGAGAGAGAGCUCGACUGCCCAGUCAGCACAUUUCCGCCAUUCAAUGGCCAUUGGAGUGGCAAAAACAACCCGUACUCGACUUUCCACUUUCGCAUUUUAUGAAAAUUUCGGAUGAGAAAAACUCCAACAAAAUUUCAGUUUUAAUUAUUUUCGUAAAAUUAAAGAUUCUGUAAGUUUUCGGGCGAACUACUGCUUCAUCUUUAUCACUUUAGGGAAUUUAGGUUCGUGUAUUCUUUUUUUGUUUUUCUUUCUCUCUGCCCAUCUAAAACUCUAUCGUGAUAUGAUUGGCAGCGAUCUCAAUUUAUCGAUUGAAUCUUUUUUUUUUUUUUUUCUUCUCAGAAAUUGGAUCGAUUGAAUUCGAAGCCACUCUGUAU